RNAcentral lists this long non-coding RNA (955 nucleotides) under Rattus norvegicus (Norway rat). Its description in RNAcentral is "long non-coding RNA NONRATT033760". Lineage: Eukaryota; Metazoa; Chordata; Mammalia; Rodentia; Muridae. The record is from RNAcentral.
AGCAGACAGGACUUUCUUAGAUAGACAAACUUGUUCUAGAUUGUUCCAGAAGCAAAUCUUAAGACUAAUAUUUGAGUACAGAUGAUCUGGCAAGAGUCGGAGGGGAUUGAGAGACAUCAGUGAGGGUUGAAUUGAGAGAAAAAAGUGAAGAAAAAUCAUGUUAUUAAAUCAGCUUCUACAUGGGUAAUUGGGACAUAAGGUUUGAGUGGGCUCAGAGAAGAACCUCGAACAACACUGAAGAGUCAUCUUAAGCAAAGGUCACAGGGAUGCAGCUUUUUCUAUACCAGUUCUUUGUCAUUGGUUAAAUCUGCUUUUAGGUUCAUUACAUCUCUGGUGCUGUUUCAUUGACUUAUAGAUCAACUAACAUAUUCCUUUGGUUAGAAAAAGAAUCUCCUUCGGUUCAAAAUCCAAAAUCCACAAGCCACAAUGAGCACAGGUAACAGGCCUUUUUUUUUUUUUUUUUGCAAGAACACAAGAGCAUCUGAAGUUACGAAUGAGGGAUGAACAGUCAUUACCACAGAGACCAUGCUUAGCAAUCAGAGAAAGUUUACAUUAUCCAGAGAUACUCCCAAGGAACGGAUCAUAGAAUGUGCAGCCUCUGACCACAUUAUCGUGGUGUCUUCUAGAAGAGUGUCACGGACCGCUGACUGUUUCCUUUUCCCCAUCUGGUCUCCGCAUCACUCACAGCGUGCCUCCUGCCUUCCCUGAUCUUCCAGGCUGAUGUAUAGCCUUCCUGGGAUGAGUAAAAUGUCAUCAUGUGUGAGCCAAUGUGCUACAAUAUCUGAGAGAAGGGAACGGUAGAAGAAAGAGCUGUGAACUCUUUUGGCUUUGUCUUAUAAACAGAAAUCUGGGUACAAUGUUUUGACCUAUUCUUAGAGGGAUAAUUAUAUCUUAUAUCAAAAAGUCAAUUGUCUUCUUUUGCUUACUUGUGCGUGACCCAUCCACAACUCUAGUG